RNAcentral lists this long non-coding RNA (467 nucleotides) under Ananas comosus (pineapple). Its description in RNAcentral is "long non-coding RNA (ACOM_LNC011785)". Lineage: Eukaryota; Viridiplantae; Streptophyta; Magnoliopsida; Poales; Bromeliaceae. The record is from RNAcentral.
UUGUUACCAAAAAAAAAAAUGUAAUUCUCUAUUUAAUAUUUUAAUAUUUUAUAUAUAGUUAUACUCCUUUUUUUUUGUCGCCUUAAUAAAAUAAAGGAUAAACUUCAAAUACCGCUUCUAUGAUUUCGCACUUUCUCACUUUAGUACCCUGUGGUUUAAAGUGUAUCAAGUUAGUAUCCUAUGGUUUCAUUUUUAUUUUUUCAUCAGCUUUUAUAUAUUAGUUUUAACUUUGUCACUAAUUUAAUGAAAAAAUAAGUGGAAUCGAUAAUAAAAAGAUAAAAAUGAAACCACAGGACACUAAAUUGAUACACUUUAAACCACAGGGUACUAAAAUAAGGUGGUGUGAAACCAUAGGGGUGAUAUUUGAAGUUUUUCUUAAAAUAAAUGAUAUGCAUGCACUUAGCUGCAAUCUUUUUCUUUUUAUUAUUAUUUAAAUAAAAUUACUAUACAACUCUUAUCAUAUAAUA